UUAACUAAUUUUUUUGGUGGUAAGCAAAAAAUGUGGUUAGGUAUUUUUUUUCCUAUUUUUUUAACUCAUUUUUUGGGUUGUUAAGCAAAAAAUGUGGUUAGAUAAUUUUUUUCUAUUCGUUUUUAACUGAAUUUUUUGGGGUAUUAAGUAAAAAAUGUGGUUAGAUCAUUUUUUUCUAUUUUUUUAACUCACUGAUAAGUUUACGAUACAAUGAAAAGUUGUCACCUUUAAUACCUUUGUUUUUUUCAUAGUCUGGUUAAGCUUGCAAUUGUUAAUAAACCUGUAAGCAAAUUUUAUCUAUAUAUGCAAGGGGGACAUGGAGGAAGGGACCUAUUCUCAGAGGAGGCGUGGUAGCAAAUUGUUUAAGAACCUCCACUCUGAUCAGACUUAACCCUUAGACGGCAGCAGAACUCUAUACAGACGGUCCUAAAUUCAGUCAGGAUGGCGUUGAAACUCUACAUGGAUGGUCCAAAAUUCAGUCAGGAUGGCGUUGGAACUCUACAUGGACGGUCCAAAAUUCAGUCAGGAUGGCGUUGGAACUCUACAUGGAUGGUCCAAAAUUCAGUCAGGAUGGCGUUGGAACUCUACAUGGAUGGUCCAAAAUUCAGUCAGGACGGCGUUGAAACUCUACACAGAAGGUCCAAAAUUCAGUCAGGACGGCGUUGAAACUCUACACAGAUGGUCCAAAAUUCAGUCAGGACAGCGUUGAAACUCUACACAGAAGGUCCAAAAUUCAGUCAGGACAGCGUUGAAACUCUACAUAGAAGGUCCAAAAUUCAGUCAGGACAGCGUUGGAACUCUACACAGAAGGUCCAAAAUUCAGUCAGGACAGCGUUGAAACUCUACACAGAAGGUCCAAAAUUCAGUCAGGACAGCGUUGAAACUCUACACAGAAGGUCCAAAAUUCAGUCAGGACAGCGUUGGAACUCUACACAGAUGGUCCAAAAUUCAGUCAGUUUAGUAUGGCAGAAAUAUAACAACGCUUCCUGACUGCGGCAGAGGCUAUAUAUAGACGAUAGUUAAAACACCUCUUAUGCGGCGUAACUUUAUUUAUUCUACGGUCCUAAGGUCGGCAGUGACUAUAUAUAGCACCGUUGCCAGAUUGUCGUACCAGUUUCUGACGCCUAACUAUUGCCGAGAAACAUCAGGAUCCAACUCUUUUAACGAUAACUAUAAAUGAGUUUCGUUAUAGGAGCCCAGAAGACAGUUUAGGGGUAAGAAGUCGGUAAAUAUAAUCGGUUUCUGACGCCUUACUAUUGCCAAGAAACAUCAGGAUCCAACUCUUUUAACGAUAACUAUAUAUGAGUUUCGUUAUAGGAGCCCAGAAGAAAGUUUAGGGAUAAGAAGUCGGUAAAUAUAAUCGGCUGAGUACGACAAUCUGGCAACAUUGAUAUAUAGAUGAUUCAUUUUUGGGGGAGCUACCCUUCAAAUACUGAGUACGACAAUCUGGCAACAUUGAUAUAUAGAUGAUUCAUUUUGGGGGGAGCUACCCUUCAAAUACUGAGUACGACAAUCUGGCAAUGUUGAUAUAUAGAUGAUUCAUUUUUGGAGGAGCUACCCUUCAAAUACUGCUGCUGUCUUAGGGUUAAUAACUGUCCUGGAGCUGCUGUUGCAUAUGAUAUAAAAGAAGAAACAUACUAAUGAAAAUGUAAUGUUCUAAUCAGACUUCUAAACAUUCCACUCAUAAAUACGGGAAGAGGAUGAAAGGCUCGUUAAAUAUAGUCACUACGUCACUGGAUUUCAUGGACAAAAGCUCUAUAUAAAAAUCUGAUCCUGUAAUAGCGUCUUCCAUUUAGCGUAACCUGUUCCUGGGUCGUGAUCUGUAGAGUCCUUUAUAGAGUCCCGACAACCUAGGAUUCGGACACCAUUAUUGGCCCUGUUUUCGCCGCGCUUCUCAAACGCUAGCGCACGCUCUCCCGGCGAAAACAGGGGCAAGAAUGGCGUCCAAAUCUUAGGUUGUUGGGGCUCUAUCUAUCAAGGGACUCUACUGAUCACAACCCAGAAACAGGUUACGCUAAAUGGAAGACGCUAUGGCUGGUAUUACAAGACACUUUGCCAUAUUACAUCAGCUAUUUCUUAAGGUCAAAUAGUGGAUCAAUCGGGUUUUGAUGAGUGGUUCUUUAAGUUCAUGGUACAGAAGAAGGGUCACACUACCACCAGGGUCAUAAAACUACCUCUGGAAAUGCCCACAACUCCUACGAAAGCCUUGGAAAAUGUGUGUUCUUGGGCGGGGAAAUGUCUUGUAAUACGACCCUAUAAGGCUACAUCACUACUUGUUGGUACGGACUAAUUGUUAGGUUUGAGGGAUAGCUAGUCAAAAAGCACUGCACCUUACUGUUGAAAAAUGUGGCUAUUAUUUUUUUAUCUGUUAUGGGAGGUAAACAAAAACUGUGGUUAUUCAUUUUUUAACUUGUUUUUUGGGGGGAAGUAGGCAAAAAAUGUGGUUAAAUUUUUUUCUAUUCUUUUUUCACUCAUUUUUUGGGGUGGAAAGCAAAGAAUGUGGUUAAUUUUUUUUCUAUUCUUUUUUAACACAUUUUUUGGGGUGGAAAGCAAAGAAUGUGGUUAAUUUUUUUUCUAUUCUUUUUCACUCAUUUUUUGGGGUGGAAAGCAAAGAAUGUGGUUAAUUUUUUUUCUAUUCUUUUUUCACUCAUUUUUUGGGGUGGAAAGCAAAGAAUGUGGUUAAUUUUUUUUCUAUUCUUUUUUAACUCAUUUUUUGGGGUGGAAAGCAAAGAAUGUGGUUAAUUUUUUUCUAUUCUUUUUUUAACGCAUUUUUUGGGGUGGAAAGCAAAGAAUGUGGUUAAUUUUUUUCCAUUCUUUUUUAACGCAUUUUUUGGGGUGGAAAGCAAAGAAUGUGGUUAAUUUUUUCUAUUCUUUUUUAACUCAUUUUUUUGGGGGGAAGUAGGCAAAAAAUGUGGUUAAUUUUUUUUCUAUUCUUUUUUAACGCAUUUUUUGGGGUGGAAAGCAAAAAAUGUGGUUAAUUUUUUUUCUAUUCUUUUUUCACGCAUUUUUUGGGGUGGAAAGCAAAAAAUGUGGUUAAUUUUUUUCUAUUCUUUUUUCAUGCAUUUUUUUGGGUGGAAAGCAAAGAAUGUGGUUAAUUUUUUUUCUAUUCUUUUUUAACGCAUUUUUUGGGGUGGAAAGCAAAGAAUGUGGUUAAUUUUUUUCUAUUCUUUUUUUAACGCAUUUUUUGGGGUGGAAAGCAAAGAAUGUGGUUAAUUUUUUUCUAUUCUUUUUUAACGCAUUUUUUGGGGUGGAAAGCAAAGAAUGUGGUUAAUUUUUUUUCUAUUCUUUUUUAACUCAUUUUUUGGGGUGGAAAGCAAAGAAUGUGGUUAAUUUUUUUUCUAUUCUUUUUUAACUCAUUUUUUGGGGUGGAAAGCAAAGAAUGUGGUUAAUUUUUUUUUCUUUUCUUUUUUCACUCAUUUUUUGGGGUGAAAAGC
Molecule: long non-coding RNA, 3434 nt
Organism: Eriocheir sinensis (Chinese mitten crab)
Lineage: Eukaryota; Metazoa; Arthropoda; Malacostraca; Decapoda; Varunidae
Exons: 6
Source: RefSeq, a predicted model, not a curated record